This 253-nucleotide ribosomal RNA is filed under the name uncultured bacterium. RNAcentral's name for it is "partial 16S ribosomal RNA". It matches the Rfam family "Bacterial small subunit ribosomal RNA", at positions 524 to 776 of the family's 1533-position model. The record is from RNAcentral.
UACGGAGGAUCCAAGCGUUAUCCGGAUUCACUGGGUUUAAAGGGUGCGUAGGAGGGUAGGUAAGUCAGUGGUGAAAUCUUCGAGCUUAACUCGGAAACUGCCGUUGAUACUAUCUAUCUUGAAUACCGUGGAGGUGAGCGGAAUAUGUCAUGUAGCGGUGAAAUGCUUAGAUAUGACAUAGAACACCAAUUGCGAAGGCAGCUCGCUACACGAAUAUUGACUCUGAGGCACGAAAGCGUGGGGAUCAAACAGG